UACGAAGGGGGCUAGCGUUGUUCGGAAUCACUGGGCGUAAAGCGCACGUAGGCGGAUGUGCCAGUCAGGGGUGAAAUCCCGGAGCUCAACUUCGGAACUGCCUCUGAUACAGCACGUCUUGAGUCCGGAAGAGGUGGGUGGAAUUCCUAGUGUAGAGGUGAAAUUCGUAGAUAUUAGGAAGAACACCGGUGGCGAAGGCGGCCCACUGGACCAUAACUGACGCUGAGGCACGAAAGCGUGGGUAGCAAACAGG
Molecule: ribosomal RNA, 253 nt
Filed under: uncultured bacterium
Lineage: Bacteria
Description: partial 16S ribosomal RNA
Rfam family: Bacterial small subunit ribosomal RNA
Source: RNAcentral